Molecule: ribosomal RNA, 428 nt
Filed under: uncultured bacterium
Lineage: Bacteria
Description: bacterial SSU rRNA
Rfam family: Bacterial small subunit ribosomal RNA
Source: RNAcentral
UCGAGAAUCAUUCGCAAUGGGCGAAAGCCUGACGGUGCGACGUCGCGUGGAGGAUGAAGGUCUUCGGAUUGUAAACUCCUGUCAUGAGGGAUAAAUGGCCAGGGCAUGAAUAAUGCCUUGGAAUGAUAGUACCUCAGGAGGAAGAGACGGCUAACUCUGUGCCAGCAGCCGCGGUAAUACAGAGGUCUCGAGCGUUGUUCGGAUUUACUGGGCGUAAAGGGAGCGUAGGCGGUUUGGUAUGUCGAAUGUGAAAGCCCACAACUCAACUGUGGAAAUGCAUUCGAAACUGCCGGACUAGAGUACUGGAGAGGAGAGCGGAAUUCUUGGUGUAGCGGUGAAAUGCGUAGAUAUCAAGAGGAACACCGGUGGCGAAGGCGGCUCUCUGGACAGAUACUGACGCUGAGGCUCUAAAGUUAGGGGAGCAAACA